This 253-nucleotide ribosomal RNA is filed under the name uncultured bacterium. RNAcentral describes it as "partial 16S ribosomal RNA". It matches the Rfam family "Bacterial small subunit ribosomal RNA", at positions 524 to 776 of the family's 1533-position model. The record is from RNAcentral.
UACGUAGGGUGCAAGCGUUGUCCGGAAUUAUUGGGCGUAAAGAGCUCGUAGGCGGUUCGUCGCGUCGGCUGUGAAAACUGGAGGCUCAACCUCCAGCCUGCAGUGGGUACGGGCAGACUAGAGUGCGGUAGGGGAGAUUGGAAUUCCUGGUGUAGCGGUGGAAUGCGCAGAUAUCAGGAGGAACACCGAUGGCGAAGGCAGAUCUCUGGGCCGUAACUGACGCUGAGGAGCGAAAGCAUGGGGAGCGAACAGG